Molecule: ribosomal RNA, 774 nt
Filed under: uncultured bacterium
Lineage: Bacteria
Description: bacterial SSU rRNA
Rfam family: Bacterial small subunit ribosomal RNA
Source: RNAcentral
ACUCCUACGGGAGGCAGCAGUGGGGAAUUUUGGACAAUGGGCGCAAGCCUGAUCCAGUAAUGCCGCGUGAGUGAGGAAGGCCUUCGGGUUGUAAAGCUCUUUCAGUUGAAAAGAAAAAGUCGUGACUAAUAAUCAUGGCUCAUGACGGUAUCAACAGAAGAAGCACCGGCUAACUACGUGCCAGCAGCCGCGGUAAUACGUAGGGUGCAAGCGUUAAUCGGAAUUACUGGGCGUAAAGGGUGCGCAGGCGGUUCUGUAAGUCAGAUGUGAAAUCCCCGGGCUUAACCUGGGAACUGCGUUUGAAACUGCAGAGCUAGAGUUCGGCAGAGGGAGGUGGAAUUCCAUGUGUAGCAGUGAAAUGCGUAGAGAUAUGGAAGAACAUCGAUGGCGAAGGCAACCUCCUGGCUAGCACUGACGCUCAUGCACGAAAGCGUGGGGAGCAAACAGGAUUAGAUACCCUGGUAGUCCACGCCCCAAACUAUGUCAACUAGUUGUCGGGUCCUAAUAGACUUGGUAACGUAGCUAACGCGUGAAGUUGACCCGCCUGGGGAGUACGGUCGCAAGAUUAAACUCAAAGGAAUUGACGGGGACCCGCACAAGCGGUGGGAUAUGUGGAUUAAUUCGAUGCACGCGAAAACCUACCUACCCUUGACAUGUCAGAAAUUUUCAGAGAUGAAUUUGUGCCCGAAAGGAAUCUGACACAGUGCUUGCAUUGGCUUGUCGUCAAGCUCGUGUCGUGAGAUGUUGGUUAAGUCCCGCAUCGAGCGCAACCUU